CCCGUCCCAAAAAGUUGAAAAAUCUGCAAUUUCAAUAACACAUGUGGACACAAACAUGAUGGUAGUCUCACAUAUCAAAAAUCAGCUCAAAAUCUGGAGGGGUAUAGAAAAAAAAUCCGUAUAACUAUGAUUUUCAAUAAUUUAUCAAAGUCCAAAGCCUGUAAUUUCAGCAAAAAUUAGCGAUGCGGAACAAAACUUAUACUUGAUCUGUAACUCAUCAUGGUUAACUCACAUACAAAAAA
RNAcentral lists this long non-coding RNA (242 nucleotides) under Mytilus galloprovincialis (Mediterranean mussel). The record is from RNAcentral. Lineage: Eukaryota; Metazoa; Mollusca; Bivalvia; Mytilida; Mytilidae.